AUGAAUGCAGUGUGCCUUACAUCUUUCUUUGCAACCACAACUACGAGACGGGUAACCGAUCCCGCACCGGGAGCCUCGGUGCCCUCGGAGCCACCGGGCCGCUUCUCCCGUGGAGCCCGAGCUCCGGCUCUAGAAGGGGUGUGCCCGCAUCGUCCACUUCACGCAGCUUUGCCCCAGUGGGCCCCUCCGUCACGCGUGCGGUGGCGGCGGCGGCGUGCGCUGAGGGGCGACCCCCUCCCCUUGGCAAACCUGGCGCCCCCGUGCCGGCGGCCGGGCCUCCUUCCCGGCAGAGGGGCGCCGAACUCCUCGGGCCCUUCGGGCGCUUCCGCCGAGCUCUCGGCUCGGUUCGUGUCCGGGGCGGGGCCGGCGCCCCUGCGCGGGUGCGCGCAGAGCUGGCGGGCCCUUCCCAGUGCGCGCGCGCCGGCGCCUCUUGCUCGCCCGGGCCGCCCCUCCCCCCUCCCCCGCUGCCCCUCCCCCGCCCCGCGAACGAGCGAGCGUCCUCCGCGGCUGAGGCGGCAGAGAUUGGAAUCUGCUUGCCGGCCGCGCGGAGGAGGAGGAGGAGGAGGAGGAGGGCGGAGGGAGGAGGGAAGGGCGGGGAGGGAGGCUCGAGCUCCCGCGCGAGACGACGACUGUACGGCCGCGCGAGGGGCGACCGGGCCCGGGCCGCUGCACGCCGAGGGCGGAGGCCGAGCCGGGCCCCGCCGCCCCGCGGCUGUCCGUGCGCGCCCGCGCCGAGCGCCGGAGGAUGAGUUUCUCGGGAUCCCGGUGAGUUGGCGGGUGGCGACGGAGUGCGGGUGCGCCGCGGGAGGCCGGCGAAGUUUGGGGGCGACGGUGGCGGCGCAGGGGAGGCCGCGACGCGCCUCCGCGGGGCCUGCGGGAGAGACCCCCCGGCCCCGCGGCCCGGCCCGCCCGCGCUUGCCCUUUUGUUCGCCUUCGCACCACUCCGGGGACGCUUCUGGAAACCUUAAAUGGGAACGGUGCUCUGCUCCCGCUCCGGAGCUGCGCGGCGGCUGCUGCGGGGACUGGGUCUCGGGACCCUGCUAG
This 1044-nucleotide long non-coding RNA is filed under the name Mus spicilegus (steppe mouse). RNAcentral describes it as "lncRNA (ENSMSIG00000028584.1)". Lineage: Eukaryota; Metazoa; Chordata; Mammalia; Rodentia; Muridae. The record is from RNAcentral.